RNAcentral lists this ribosomal RNA (253 nucleotides) under uncultured bacterium. Its description in RNAcentral is "partial 16S ribosomal RNA". It matches the Rfam family "Bacterial small subunit ribosomal RNA", at positions 524 to 776 of the family's 1533-position model. The record is from RNAcentral.
UACGCAGGGGGCUAGCGUUGCUCGGAAUCACUGGGCGUAAAGCGCACGUAGGCGGCCUCUUAAGUCGGUGGUGAAAUCCUGGAGCUCAACUCCAGAACUGCCUUCGAUACUGAGAGUCUCGAGUCCGGGAGAGGUGAGUGGAACUGCGAGUGUAGAGGUGAAAUUCGUAGAUAUUCGCAAGAACACCAGUGGCGAAGGCGGCUCACUGGCCCGGUACUGACGCUGAGGUGCGAAAGCGUGGGGAGCAAACAGG